GUUUACGGCCAUGCCACCCUGAACGUGCCCGAUCUUGUCUGAUCUCAGAAGCUAAGCAGGGUCGGGCCUGGUUAGUACUUGGAUGGGAGACCACCUAGGAAUAUCAGGUGCUAUAGACA
RNAcentral lists this ribosomal RNA (119 nucleotides) under Pteropus alecto (black flying fox). Lineage: Eukaryota; Metazoa; Chordata; Mammalia; Chiroptera; Pteropodidae. The record is from RNAcentral.